RNAcentral lists this unclassified non-coding RNA (240 nucleotides) under soil metagenome. Its description in RNAcentral is "partial contains 5.8S ribosomal RNA, internal transcribed spacer 2, and large subunit ribosomal RNA". The record is from RNAcentral.
AACACUGUUAACCUGCGGUACCUGCGGAAGGAUCAUUACAGAGUUCGUGCCCUCGCGGGUAGAUCUCCCACCCUUGUGUAUUCUCUACAUCUUGUUGCUUUGGCAGGCCGUUGGUUCGCCAACCACCGGCUCGCGGGCUGGUGCGUGCCUGCCAGAGGACCUCUCAAACUCGGUUUGUUAGUGUCGUCUGAGUACCAUAACAAUCGUUAAAACUUUUAACAAUGGAUCUCAGAUCGGAAG